Molecule: long non-coding RNA, 880 nt
Filed under: Homo sapiens (human)
Lineage: Eukaryota; Metazoa; Chordata; Mammalia; Primates; Hominidae
Description: HSALNT0377783
Source: RNAcentral
ACACAGGUUGGAUCACGCCACGCCCAAUGUCUGCAGGAAAGGAUCCACAUUCUUGAGCACGGCCUUCAGGGCCCCACCCAAUCUGACCUGAGUCUACCUUCCCAAAUGCCCAUCACAAUUUCCCUGCCUCCAGUCCUUCCCCAUCCCUAAGACUCAACACUUCUCUGCUUCCUGAAACACUUGAUUUUCCAGGAAUGGAGGCCUCCUGCUUGAAAGAGUAUUAUCCUCUUUAUGAACUGACUUUCUGGCUAUCUACCUAGGUGUCUUAAGAAGACUGCAACCUAGACGGGAUCUUGCUAAGCUGGUCUGGAACUCCUGGAGUCAAGAAAUCCACCUGCCUCAGCCUCCCCUGCUGGGAUUACAGGCAUGAGCCCUCACCAUACCUGGCUUUGGCAGUUUCUUGGUACCUAAAGACUUUUUUAGGAAAUUGGUAACAGUAUCAGUCAAUGUGAUUUUUUGAUGUCAUAUAAUGAAAUGUGUCAACACUGAAGAUCUGUAUAACUCGAGGAAGCAAUAUUUCCCAAAUGGCAGUGAAUGAGAUUACAAAAUCAUGCAUGCAAAAAUGCAUUCAAAGUCGAAGAUAGAACAGCAGGUUUUAACAUAACAGUACCAAAAGUUCAUGGAUGUGGUUUCAGAUUCUCCAUUCCAGCUAACUUUUAAGAAACCAUAACUUGUGGAGUUUUGGAAUAAUAUCAAAGAAGAAUACCCACAAUGAUCUUAAAAGGCUAUUAAAAUACUCACUUCUUUUCCAACUACAUAUCUGUGUGAGGCCAGAUUUUCUUCAUAUGUUUCAACUAAAACAAGAUAUUGGAACAGAUUGAACACAGAAGCAGAUAUGAAAAUUUAGGUGUCUUUUAAGUCAGACAUUAAAGAGAUGUGC